UCUCCUACGGGAGGCAGCAGUGGGGAAUAUUGCACAAUGGGGGGAACCCUGAUGCAGCGACGCCGCGUGGGUGAAGAAGUCAUUCGUGACGUAAAGCCCUAUCAGCAGGGAAGAAAAUGACGGUACCUGACUAAGAAGCCCCGGCUAACUACGUGCCAGCAGCCGCGGUAAUACGUAGGGGGCAAGCGUUAUCCGGAUUUACUGGGUGUAAAGGGAGCGUAGACGGCAUUGCAAGUCCGGAGUGAAAGCCCACGGCCCAACCGUGGGACUGCUCUGGAAACUGUAGAGCUGGAGUGCGGGAGGGG
RNAcentral lists this ribosomal RNA (305 nucleotides) under uncultured bacterium. RNAcentral's name for it is "bacterial SSU rRNA". It matches the Rfam family "Bacterial small subunit ribosomal RNA", at positions 335 to 657 of the family's 1533-position model. The record is from RNAcentral.